RNAcentral lists this ribosomal RNA (458 nucleotides) under uncultured bacterium. Its description in RNAcentral is "bacterial SSU rRNA". It matches the Rfam family "Bacterial small subunit ribosomal RNA", at positions 32 to 496 of the family's 1533-position model. The record is from RNAcentral.
AAUCAACGCUGGCGGCGUGCCUCAGACAUGCAAGUCGAACGAUUAAAGCUCUCUUCGGAGAGUGCAUAGAGUGGCGCACGGGUGAGUAACACGUAAGUAAUCUACCUUCGAGUGGGGAAUAACAGUCGGAAACGACUGCUAAUACCGCAUAAUGCAGCGGCAUCGCAAGAUGACAGUUGUUAAAGGAGCAAUUCGCUUGAAGAGGAGCUUGCGGCAGAUUAGCUUGUUGGUAAGGUAACGGCUUACCAAGGCUACGAUCUGUAACCGGUCUAAGAGGACGGUCGGUCACACUGACACUGAAUAACGGGUCAGACUCCUACGGAGGCAGCAGUCGGGAAUUUUGGGUCGAAUGGGCGAAAGACCUGACCCAGCAACGCCGCGUGAAGGAUGAAGUAUUUCGGUAUGUAAACUUCGAAAGAAUGGGAAGAAUCAAUGACGGUACCAUUUAUAAGGUCCGG